CCUACGGGAGGCUGCAGUGGGGAAUAUUGGACAAUGGGCGAAAGCCUGAUCCAGCCAUGCCGCGUGUGUGAAGAAGGCCUUCGGGUUGUAAAGCACUUUCAGUGGGGAAGAAAGCCUUGGGGCUAAUACCCUCGAGGAAGGACAUCACCCACAGAAGAAGCACCGGCUAACUCCGUGCCAGCAGCCGCGGUAAUACGGAGGGUGCGAGCGUUAAUCGGAAUUACUGGGCGUAAAGCGCGCGUAGGCGGUCUGAUAAGCCGGUUGUGAAAGCCCCGGGCUCAACCUGGGAACGGCAUCCGGUACUGUCAGGCUAGAGUGCAGGAGAGGAAGGUAGAAUUCCCGGUGUAGCGGUGAAAUGCGUAGAGAUCGGGAGGAAUACCAGUGGCGAAGGCGGCCUUCUGGACUGACACUGACGCUGAGGUGCGAAAGCGUGGGUAGCAAACAGGAUUAGAUACCCCGGUAGUC
Molecule: ribosomal RNA, 465 nt
Filed under: Vreelandella stevensii
Lineage: Bacteria; Pseudomonadati; Pseudomonadota; Gammaproteobacteria; Oceanospirillales; Halomonadaceae
Description: partial 16S ribosomal RNA
Rfam family: Bacterial small subunit ribosomal RNA
Source: RNAcentral